UACGGAGGAUGCGAGCGUUAUCCGGAUUUAUUGGGUUUAAAGGGUGCGUAGGCGGACGCUUAAGUCAGCGGUAAAAUUGCGGGGCUCAACCUCGUCGAGCCGUUGAAACUGGGUGCCUUGAGUGGGCGAGAAGUACGCGGAAUGCGUGGUGUAGCGGUGAAAUGCUUAGAGAUCAUACAGAACACCGAUUGCGAAGGCAGCUUACCAAACUAUAUCUGACGUUGAGGCACGAAAGCGUGGGUAGCAAACAGG
This 252-nucleotide ribosomal RNA is filed under the name uncultured bacterium. RNAcentral describes it as "partial 16S ribosomal RNA". It matches the Rfam family "Bacterial small subunit ribosomal RNA", at positions 524 to 776 of the family's 1533-position model. The record is from RNAcentral.